Molecule: long non-coding RNA, 412 nt
Organism: Python bivittatus (Burmese python)
Lineage: Eukaryota; Metazoa; Chordata; Lepidosauria; Squamata; Pythonidae
Source: RefSeq, a predicted model, not a curated record
CCCCCUUCAGAACGGACGGGUCCGUGCGGUUCGGAAUAGACUUCCACGAGGCUGGAGAAAAGGCACAGCAGAAUCGAAGAUUUAUUAUGCCGCAGCAUAUGAGUGUCCACCCUGCUGCCCUUCUUGCUUUGCUUCGCACUCCCACAGAGCUGACCACUACUUCGACUGGCCCAGUGUGAAAAAGGCAGCCCGGUGGGACCUCAGUGCCACCUUCAGUCUUCUUUUCACAGUGAGGAAGGCAAACAAACAAAAGGCCAACUGCAAAGUGGUGGGCAAACUUUCCCAGCUUCAGCCCACCUUCCUUCCUUCCUCCCUGCCUCCCUUUCUUGAAUUCAUUGGAGUUUUUUGCAUGCAAGGGAUUGCAUGGAGUUUUGCCAAAUUAUGACCAAGAGUGUGGGAAGACAUCUCCAUG